AUCCCAUGUUGAGGGCAGCUUGCACACAAUUAUUUGAAUCUUUCCCAAUACUCAUGAAGGGUCUCAACAUCUUUUUGUUUUAUUCCAUAUAUCUCCCUUCGAAUGCC
This is a small nucleolar RNA of Hibiscus syriacus, 107 nucleotides long. The record is from RefSeq and is a predicted model, not a curated record. NCBI's taxonomy places the organism in Eukaryota, Viridiplantae, Streptophyta, Magnoliopsida, Malvales, Malvaceae.